Molecule: ribosomal RNA, 247 nt
Filed under: uncultured bacterium
Lineage: Bacteria
Description: partial 16S ribosomal RNA
Rfam family: Bacterial small subunit ribosomal RNA
Source: RNAcentral
AACGAACGCUGGCGGCAUGCCUAACACAUGCAAGUCGAACGGAUUAUUGGAGCUUGCUCCAAUGGUUAGUGGCGGACGGGUGAGUAACGCGUGGGAACCUGCCCUGGAGUGGGGAACAACCUUUGGAAACGAAGGCUAAUACCGCAUACGCUCUACGGAGGAAAGGCUUCGGCCGCUCUUGGAUGGUCCCGCGUCUGAUUAGCUUGUUGGUGGGGUAAUGGCCUACCAAGGCGACGAUCAGUAGCUG